UACGGAGGGUGCAAGCGUUAUUCGGAAUCACUGGGCGUAAAGCGCACGUAGGCGGCCUAGCAAGUCAGGUGUGAAAUCCCUCGGCUCAACCGAGGAAUAGCACUUGAAACUGCUGGGCUACGAGUCCUGGAGAGGGUGGCGGAAUUCCUGGUGUAGGAGUGAAAUCCGUAGAUAUCAGGAGGAACACCGGUGGCGAAGGCGGCCACCUGGACAGGUACUGACGCUGAGGUGCGAAAGCGUGGGUAGCAAACAGGAUUAGAUACCCUGGUAGUCCACGCUGUAAACGAUGGAUGCUAGGUGCUGGGGGCGUAUGUCCUUCGGUGCCGCAGCUAACGCGUUAAGCAUCCCGCCUGGGGAGUACGGUCGCAAGGCUGAA
This 376-nucleotide ribosomal RNA is filed under the name uncultured bacterium. RNAcentral describes it as "bacterial SSU rRNA". It matches the Rfam family "Bacterial small subunit ribosomal RNA", at positions 524 to 898 of the family's 1533-position model. The record is from RNAcentral.